This is a non-coding RNA of Bombyx mori (domestic silkworm), 84 nucleotides long. The record is from Rfam. NCBI's taxonomy places the organism in Eukaryota, Metazoa, Arthropoda, Insecta, Lepidoptera, Bombycidae.
UUAACUCAUAUUUGUAUGGAGUUGGACCGUUUGCCUACGUGUGUCGCUAGGGGCGCUGUUCCAACUGCAUACAUAUUUGAGUUA